Molecule: long non-coding RNA, 2861 nt
Organism: Biomphalaria glabrata
Lineage: Eukaryota; Metazoa; Mollusca; Gastropoda; Planorbidae
Exons: 2
Source: RefSeq, a predicted model, not a curated record
GACAUAAUGGGGAAAUAACUAUUUUUGAUUACUUGUAUAGUUAGGAGUGAUUCCCCUUAUGUAGUUUAUAAAAGGCCUUGCAAACUGUGUUUAGUUGCCACUUGCUCCUGAGUUACCAGCUUGACCACUUGACCUGUGUUGUGUAUAGUAUUUUUUCUGUUACUGGUCGUGUGUCAUGGGGUACUCGGAGAAGUGUGCCCUGCUCUGGAGAUCUUUGGGCUAAGUAUGUCUUUAGUAUUAUUGUAUUUUAUAUAAUGUAUUUAUUAAUAGAUAUAGCCCCAAAUGAUUUCCAGGCAGUAUAUUUUCUUUACCCUGAUGUUCUGCAUCCUGGGGUACUCCCAAACGUGACAUAUUUUUGUAACCUUUCUGAGGGAUUCAACCUGUAUUGAAUCAUCAGAUGGACUUUACAUAUAUUUUUAUCGCCUUGUCUCUGAGGGAUUCAACCUGUAUUGAAUCAUCAGAUGGGCUUUACCAAACGGAUGGCUAUAGGUGGGAUUCUAUGAAGCUUGUAGGCUCAUAGGUUUCCCUGAAGCCUAUAGUUCAUCAUGACCAUUUUGUUUUUGUUUUUUGGCUAAAAGUGGCUAGUGUAAGCCUGAAGCCUGUAACCAUAGUGUAGCCAAAAGUGGUCGUGUUUCGACCUGAGGCCUGUGACCUUCAGUUGGCUGUGUAAGCCGGAAGUUUGUAACCCAAUGGUCAAAAGUGGUCAUGUGUUGACCUGAGGCCUGUGAUCUUUAUUUUUGAUAACCAGAAUGUGACGAUAAUGUAACAUAUGACUAGGGCUGUGUGCCAUAUUAUUUUUGAGUAUCUUUUGUUUACUUUUUGUUGUGUCGGCCUGUGAGUUGAUGGCCAUUUAUUUUUCUCAUGUAAAUAAACUUUGUAAAUAUGUUUACCUGCGACUUUGUAAAAUCUUUUGUUGCAUACAUUAGUUGAAUUGUAUACCUGGAGGUUAUACCUAAUAACCUAGGCAGUACAAGAAGGGACCAGCACACCUCUGGACGAACGUGCCAGCACACUUUUAACACUGAUCUGUUGAUCUAAAGUACCUAAGUCUAGCUAUAAUUCUAAUUGAAUAUUUUUAGCUAUACCCGCUACUAGGUAAUGUGAACUCAUAUUGGUUCAUGAAUCCUCUUUAGGUCACAUGGGGGCUCGUAAAAAGAAUUUUAUCAGUGUUAAACCCUAGAACCCUACUGAUGUUGUGUAUUGCUGUAAACAUAAUUGUACUAUUGAUAUUGCUUAUUUACUGUAAGUUUUCAAGUUUUGCCAGUUGUGACGAGAUUUAUAUUUAAGAUGUAAUAUAUAGUUGUGUCUACAUUUUGUUAGCUUUGUAGUAGACAACUAAACUUUUCAGGUAACCAGAAGGUACUAGAGACUACCUGAGCCGCAAGAGACUAUCCCAGGCCGCAAGAGACUACCAGAGGCCGUGAGAGACUACCAGAAGUUCCUACAUCUGGCUCGUUUGCUCGUACCUUUCGUAUUAUUCUGAAUGACAGUACAUAGCAGAAUUGUGUUGACCGUGUCAGGCUGUGAUGUCAAGAGACUACCAGAUGACCACAAAGAGCACUGAACUAACCAGUCACCAGUCCUGUUGACAAGCUUGUUGACUUCUGAUGAAGUUUAGGAUAUUAAGUGUAUUUAGAGUUGAAAUUGUAUUUUCUUUUUGUAUAAAUUCACAAUGUAGUAAAGCAAGUCUCCUCAUAUUUGUAUUGUACAUGAAAACUUGACCAGAUUUUGAUUAGUUUAAGCUGAUGAUGUAAAUUUAGCGAUUUUUUUCACCUAUAAUAGUGGACUAAUGUUGUACAGAAUUUUGAUGAUUUUGUAAACAGGAUUUAAUGUGGAAAUGUUGAAAUGUUAACUAAGUAGAGAUGUUAACUUGUAAUUAUUUGUUUGAUACUGUCAUUUUCCCCAUUGGUUUAAGUUUAAUGCCUUGUGCGUCAUGUUUUCCUCACAAGGACAUUUUUAAGGUGGGGGGUGUGACAUAAUGGGGAAAUAACUAUUUUUGAUUACUUGUAUAGUUAGGAGUGAUUCCCCUUAUGUAGUUUAUAAAAGGCCUUGCAAACUGUGUUUAGUUGCCACUUGCUCCUGAGUUACCAGCUUGACCACUUGACCUGUGUUGUGUAUAGUAUUUUUUCUGUUACUGGUCGUGUGUCAUGGGGUACUCGGAGAAGUGUGCCCUGCUCUGGAGAUCUUUGGGCUAAGUAUGUCUUUAGUAUUAUUGUAUUUUAUAUAAUGUAUUUAUUAAUAGAUAUAGCCCCAAAUGAUUUCCAGGCAGUAUAUUUUCUUUACCCUGAUGUUCUGCAUCCUGGGGUACUCCCAAACGUGACAUAUUUUUGUAACCUUUCUGAGGGAUUCAACCUGUAUUGAAUCAUCAGAUGGACUUUACAUAUAUUUUUAUCGCCUUGUCUCUGAGGGAUUCAACCUGUAUUGAAUCAUCAGAUGGGCUUUACCAAACGGAUGGCUAUAGGUGGGAUUCUAUGAAGCUUGUAGGCUCAUAGGUUUCCCUGAAGCCUAUAGUUCAUCAUGACCAUUUUGUUUUUGUUUUUUGGCUAAAAGUGGCUAGUGUAAGCCUGAAGCCUGUAACCAUAGUGUAGCCAAAAGUGGUCGUGUUUCGACCUGAGGCCUGUGACCUUCAGUUGGCUGUGUAAGCCGGAAGUUUGUAACCCAAUGGUCAAAAGUGGUCAUGUGUUGACCUGAGGCCUGUGAUCUUUAUUUUUGAUAACCAGAAUGUGACGAUAAUGUAACAUAUGACUAGGGCUGUGUGCCAUAUUAUUUUUGAGUAUCUUUUGUUUACUUUUUGUUGUGUCGGCCUGUGAGUUGAUGGCCAUUUAUUUUUCUCAUGUAAAUAAACUUUGUAAAUAUGUUUA